Molecule: ribosomal RNA, 460 nt
Filed under: uncultured bacterium
Lineage: Bacteria
Description: partial 16S ribosomal RNA
Rfam family: Bacterial small subunit ribosomal RNA
Source: RNAcentral
CCUACGGGCGGCAGCAGUGAGGAAUAUUGGUCAAUGGCCGGAAGGCUGAACCAGCCAUGCCGCGUGAAGGUCAGUGCCCUAUGGGCGUUAAACUUCUUUUGUGCGGGAGCAAUAAUGGUCACGUGUGGCCAGACGAGAGUACCGUACGAAUAAGCAUCGACUAACUCCGUGCCAGCAGCCGCGGUAAUAAGGGGGAUGCAAGCGUUAUCCGGAUUUAUUGGGUUUAAAGGGUGCGUAGGCUGUGAGGUAAGUCAGCGGUGAAAUGCCCGCGCUCAACGGGGUGAAGUGCCAUUGAUACUGCCUGGCUGGAAUGCGGAUGCCGUGGGAGGAAUGUGUGGUGUAGCGGUGAAAUGCAUAGAUAUCACACAGAACACCGAUUGCGAAGGCAUCUCACGAAUCCGCGAUUGACGCUGAUGCACGAAAGCGUGGGUAUCAAACAGGAUUAGAUACCCCAGUAGUC